UUUGCAUAUCAAAAAGCGGAGGAAAAGAAACCAACAGGGAUUGCCCUAGUAACGGCGAGUGAAGCGGCAACAGCUCAAAUUUGAAAUCUGGCCCCCGUGGUCCGAGUUGUAAUUUGUAGAGGAAGCUUUUGGUGAGGCACCUUCCGAGUUCCCUGGAACGGGACGCCAUAGAGGGUGAGAGCCCCGUCUGGUUGGAUGCCGAUCCUCUGUAAAGCUCCUUCGACGAGUCGAGUAGUUUGGGAAUGCUGCUCUAAAUGGGAGGUAUAUGUCUUCUAAAGCUAAAUAUUGGCCAGAGACCGAUAGCGCACAAGUAGAGUGAUCGAAAGAUGAAAAGCACUUUGAAAAGAGGGUUAAAUAGUACGUGAAAUUGUUGAAAGGGAAGCGCUUGUGACCAGACUUGGGCUCGUUCAAUCAUCCAGGGUUCUCCCUGGUGCACUUGGCCGGCCCAGGCCAGCAUCAGUUCGUCGCGGGGGAUAAAGGCGUCGGGAAUGUGGCUCCCCCGGGAGUGUUAUAGCCCCUCGCGCAAUACCCUGCCUCGGACUGAGGUUCGCGCAUCUGCAAGGAUGCUGGCGUAAUGGUCAUCAGCGACCCGUCUUGACC
This 600-nucleotide ribosomal RNA is filed under the name Nectria berberidis. RNAcentral's name for it is "partial large subunit ribosomal RNA". It matches the Rfam family "Eukaryotic large subunit ribosomal RNA", at positions 35 to 659 of the family's 3401-position model. The record is from RNAcentral. Lineage: Eukaryota; Fungi; Ascomycota; Sordariomycetes; Hypocreales; Nectriaceae.